GAACCGGGACUAAAGGUGGGACAU
Molecule: microRNA, 24 nt
Filed under: Sorghum bicolor (sorghum)
Lineage: Eukaryota; Viridiplantae; Streptophyta; Magnoliopsida; Poales; Poaceae
Description: sbi-miR6219-5p
Source: miRBase by way of RNAcentral